CGUAGGUGGCAAGCGUUGUCCGGAAUUAUUGGGCGUAAAGCGCGCGCAGGCGGUCCUUUAAGUCUGAUGCGAAAGCCCACGGCUCAACCGUGGAGGGUCAUUGGAAACUGGGGGACUUGAGCACAGAAGAGAAGAGUGGAAUUCCACGUGUAGCGGUGAAAUGCGUAGAGAUGUGGAGGAACACCAGUGGCGAAGGCGACUCUUUGGUCUGUAACUGACGCUGAGGCGCGAAAGCGUGGGGAGCAAACAGGAUUAGAUACCCUGGUAGUCCACGCCGUAAACGAUGAGUGCUAAGUGUUAGAGGGUUUCCGCCCUUUAGUGCUGCAGCAAACGCAUUAAGCACUCCGCCUGGGGAGUACGGCCGCAAGGCUG
RNAcentral lists this ribosomal RNA (372 nucleotides) under uncultured organism. RNAcentral describes it as "bacterial SSU rRNA". It matches the Rfam family "Bacterial small subunit ribosomal RNA", at positions 526 to 896 of the family's 1533-position model. The record is from RNAcentral.